RNAcentral lists this ribosomal RNA (486 nucleotides) under uncultured bacterium. RNAcentral's name for it is "bacterial SSU rRNA". It matches the Rfam family "Bacterial small subunit ribosomal RNA", at positions 28 to 507 of the family's 1533-position model. The record is from RNAcentral.
GAUGAACGCUAGCGGCAGGCCUAACACAUGCAAGUCGAGGGGCAUCGCGGUGCAGCAAUGCACUGGCGGCGACCGGCGUACGGGUGCGUAACGCGUAUGCAACCUGCCCCGCACCGGGGGAUAGCCCGCCGAAAGGCGGAUUAAUACCCCAUGGCCCCGGGGGCCCGCAUGGGCAUCCGGGUAAAGCUUUGGCGGUGCGGGAUGGGCAUGCGUGCCAUUAGCUGGCUGGUGGGGUAACGGCCCACCAGGGCAACGAUGGCUAGGGGGUCUGAGAGGAUGGUCCCCCACACUGGUACUGAGACACGGACCAGACUCCUACGGGAGGCAGCAGUGAGGAAUAUUGGUCAAUGGGCGGAAGCCUGAACCAGCCAUGCCGCGUGCGGGAUGAAGGCCCUACGGGUUGUAAACCGCUUUUCCCCGGGAAGAAUAACCCCGAUGAGUCGGGGGAUGCCGGUACCGGGGGAAUAAGGAUCGGCUAACUCCGUG